Long non-coding RNA from Cercocebus atys (sooty mangabey), 756 nucleotides. RefSeq lists it as uncharacterized. The transcript has 6 exons. The record is from RefSeq and is a predicted model, not a curated record. NCBI's taxonomy places the organism in Eukaryota, Metazoa, Chordata, Mammalia, Primates, Cercopithecidae.
AUUAUCCUCCCACCUCGGCUUCCCAAAGUGCUGGGAUUACAGGAUAAAGAUCCAUUACUUGGCUUUUAAAACUCUACAGGACAUAGUCCCAUGUGAAACACCAUCUUUUUAUGGGUUAUAGUAACAAAAUUGGUGCAAGCCUCGUAAGAAUGCUGACCUGAGAACCUAGUCAAGAUGGACCUUCUCCUACAAGUCUUAUCUUUGAAGUCUCCAAAGUCUUGGCGUUUUCCAGGCCAAAGACUUAAAGGCCAAGUGGACCCUAGGGGAGAUCUAGUGUCCCAUCCAGACAGCCAAGCUCAUGCAUCCCUGGAUUUGGAUGGAUGGUUUCCCAUGGGGCCUUGGACAGAUUGGACCCAGCACUGGCACAGGGUUGACUUGGAAGAAUAAGCUCCUGGAAACCUCGAUUAGUGUUUGGUGUAUGAACAUUAAACAAUACUGAAUCUGGAAACAAUACAUCACACAGCGGGUCCAAGGAAAUAAGCAGAAGGCUGGCAGCAGGCCAGGGCCAGGGGCCAAAUCGCUCCUCAAGGACAAUUCUUCAUGGAGAAAUGACAGCAGGCUUGAGGACAGCAGGGACAGCAGAGAUGGCAUUAUCCGCUUUGGUCACCUCAUCCUUAUGUCCAGUCUCAGGGAAUGUGGAGUCUCAGUAAACAUCAGGCACUCAGUGUUCUCCAGACUGCAGUGGUGGUGGAGGCAGAGAGGACUGUGUUUGGAGGAAUGGAGUUUCGCUCUUGUUGCCCAGGCUGGGCAGUGGCG